GCCUAGCCCUAAACAUUGGCAACACCCUACAUCUGUUGCCCGCCAGGAAACUACGAGCAUUAGCUUAAAACCCAAAGGACUUGGCGGUGCUUUAGACCCACCUAGAGGAGCCUGUUCUAGAACCGAUAACCCCCGUUCAACCUCACCCUUCCUUGUUAAACCCGCCUAUAUACCACCGUCGUCAGCUUACCCUGUGAAGGCCCCAUAGUAAGCAUAAUUGGCACAGCCCAGAACGUCAGGUCGAGGUGUAGCGUAUGGAGGGGGAAGAAAUGGGCUACAUUCUUUAACAGAAAGAAUACGAAUGAUCGACUGAAAUGUCUUUCCGAAGGAGGAUUUAGCAGUAAGCAAGAAAUAGAGAGUCCUGCUGAAAUUGGCUCUGAAGCGCGC
Molecule: ribosomal RNA, 387 nt
Filed under: Lepomis gibbosus (pumpkinseed sunfish)
Lineage: Eukaryota; Metazoa; Chordata; Actinopteri; Centrarchiformes; Centrarchidae
Description: partial small subunit ribosomal RNA
Rfam family: Bacterial small subunit ribosomal RNA
Source: RNAcentral